GCUCUGUGCCCGGCUUACAGAACUGGAAGGGGGAGCCACCUUCCGCCUGAUGGAGGCUGGAGAACGGAUGGAACCUGGAUCCCUGGAGCCUGGGACACUACCUCGCUGCGGUUGGUGGUGGCCACAGACCAGUAGGAGGGCGGCUGGCAGCGGGAGCUUCUUCUGCCGGGCUGGAGGACUAGGAGAAGGGAGAGGGAACGCCACAUGCUGGAGGCUGGAGCCUGUGCCACCGUGGCUCACCUCGAUGUGGUUGGUGGCAGCUCGCCUUGCUGUGGUUGGUGGUGACGUCGGAGACUGCAGCUCGGCCACAGUGGUAGAAAUGUGUUGGGCUUUUGCUGUGUUGGGCACUUGCUCCCAUCUGCUUGCUUCUCUAGAAUCCACUGCCCUAGAAUGAGUAAUUUUUCUUAGAAGCAGAGUUGGAACCACUGAGGAAGCACAGUCAUCUGAUUCAUCCUGGUAGCAAUUCCAUUCUGCAUCUCUUCUGGACACCCACAGGACCACCAGAACAACCCCAUCAUGGCCCUGUCACCAGGCCCAGUUUGGCUCCAUGAUAACCAAGACGCAGGUCCAGAGACAACCGCCCUGCUUGAUGCCUGCAUCUGACCUCCCUUGGUGGGUAGUGAUGAGCACAACAUGGAAGAAGCCAGGGCAGCUUGUGGCCAGCUGCCCUACAGCCCCAGAUGGCUGGGGACUAGGAUUCCAAAAGGAUGAUUUUGGAGCUGUAGGAUUGAAUGACUGGCCUGCUGGGUUUUGGAUGUUCGUGUAUCCUAUGAGUCCCAUCGGUGUUUGUUUUUCUUUCAGGCAAUUUUUCUUCUAUUGGCUGGGAAUGCUUACCCAUUGCCUGUACAAUCAUUGUACCUUGGAAGUAGUUAACUUGCUUUAUAAUUCAGAGGCUCAUGGGCAGAAGGGACUGUAUCCUUGUCCCAGAUAAAACUUUGGGCUUUGGACAUUUGCUGGAAUGAGUUAAGAUUUGGGGGACUGUAGGGAAGUCAUCAUUGUAUUUUGCAACGUGAGAAAGACAUACGAGAUUUGCAUGGGCAGGGACAGAAUAAUAUGACUUGGCUCUGUGUCCCACUGCUGUGAAAUUGUAACGGGAAAUGUUAAAGGUGGUGGGGGCUGGUGGAAGGUGAUUUAAUC
Molecule: long non-coding RNA, 1137 nt
Filed under: Homo sapiens (human)
Lineage: Eukaryota; Metazoa; Chordata; Mammalia; Primates; Hominidae
Description: non-protein coding lnc-SPATA31E1-9:2
Source: RNAcentral